RNAcentral lists this ribosomal RNA (253 nucleotides) under uncultured bacterium. RNAcentral's name for it is "partial 16S ribosomal RNA". It matches the Rfam family "Bacterial small subunit ribosomal RNA", at positions 524 to 776 of the family's 1533-position model. The record is from RNAcentral.
UACGUAGGGGGCUAGCGUUGUCCGGAAUCAUUGGGCGUAAAGAGCGUGUAGGCGGCCCGGUAAGUCCGCUGUAAAAGUCAAAGGCUCAACCUUUGAAUGUCAGUGGAUACUGCCGGGCUAGAGUCCGGAAGAGGCGGGUGGAACUCCUGGUGUAGCGGUGGAAUGCGCAGAUAUCAGGAAGAACACCAACGGCGAAGGCAGCUCGCUGGGACGGUACUGACGCUGAGACGCGAAAGCGUGGGGAGCGAACAGG